RNAcentral lists this ribosomal RNA (269 nucleotides) under uncultured prokaryote. Its description in RNAcentral is "partial 16S ribosomal RNA". It matches the Rfam family "Bacterial small subunit ribosomal RNA", at positions 524 to 792 of the family's 1533-position model. The record is from RNAcentral.
UACAGAGGUGGCGAGCGUUGUUCGGAUUUACUGGGCGUAAAGCGUGCGUAGGUGGUCUGGUAUGUCGGGUGUGAAAGCCCACUGCUCAACGGUGGAAAUGCACUCGAAACUGCCAGGCUUGAGUACAGGAGGGGAGAGCGGAAUUCUUGGUGUAGCGGUGAAAUGCGUUGAUAUCAAGAAGAACGCCGGUGGCGAAGGCGGCUCUCUGGAAUGUUACUGACACUGAGGCACGAAAGCUAGGGGAACAAACAGGAUUAGAUACCCGCGUA